This 4525-nucleotide long non-coding RNA is filed under the name Salmo salar (Atlantic salmon). RNAcentral describes it as "lncRNA (ENSSSAG00000104332.1)". Lineage: Eukaryota; Metazoa; Chordata; Actinopteri; Salmoniformes; Salmonidae. The record is from RNAcentral.
GAGAUCCCUCAGGAGACCAUCCGCCACCUCAUCAGGAGCAUGCCCAGGCAUUGUAGGGAAGUCAUACAGGCACGUAGAGGCCACACACACUACUGAGCCUCAUUUUGACUUGUUUUAAGGACAUUACAUCAAAGUUGGAUCAGCCUGUAGUGUGGUUUUCCACUUUAAUUUUGAGUGUGACUCCAAAUCCAGACCUCCAUGGGUUGAUAAAUUGGAUUUCCAUUGAUUAUUUUUGUGUGAUUUUUGUUGUCAACACAUUCAACUAUGUAAAGAAAAAAGUAUUUAAUAAGAUUAUUUCUUUCAUUCAGAUCUAGGAUGUGUUGUUUAAGUGUUCCCUUUAUUUUUUUGAGCAGUAUGUGUAUAUAUAUAUAUUUGUAUAUAUACAGUACGAGUCAAAGUUUGGACACCUAUCAUUCAAGUGUUUUUCUUUAUUUUUACUAUUUUCUAAAUUGUAGAAUAAUAGUGAAGACAUCAGAACUAUGAAAUAACAAUGUAAAAAUAAAGAAAAACCCUUGAAUGAGUAGGUGUAUCAACUUUUGACUGGUACUGUAUAUUGACUUUUUCCACAUUUUGUUACGUUACAGCCUUCAAUUCUAAAAUUGAUUAAAUAAAAACAUUUCCUCAGCGAUCUACAGACAAUACCCCAUAAUGACAAAGCCAAAAUGAGUUUUUAGAAAUGUUUGCAAAUGUAUAAAAACUAAAUAAAUGAAAUACCUUAUUUACAUAAGUAUUCAAACCCUUUGCUAUGAGACUCAAAAUUGAGCUCAGAUGCAUCCUGUUUCCAUUGAUCAUCCUUGAGAUGUUUCUACAACUUGAUUGGAGUCCACCUGUGGUAAAUUCAAUUGAUUGGACAUGAUUUGGAAAGGCACACACCUGUCUAUAUAAGGUCCCACAGUUGACAGUGCAUGUCAGAGCAAAAACCAAGCCAUGAGGUUGAAGGAAUUGUCCGUAGAGCUUCAAACAGGAUUGUGUCGAGGCACAGAUCUGGGGAAGGGAACCAAAAAAUGUCUGCAGCAUUGAAGGUUCCCAAGAGACACAGUGGCCUCCAUCAUUCUUAAAUGGAAGAAGUUUAGAACCACCAAGACUCUUUCUAGACCUUUCCGCCCAGCCAAACUGAGGGAGGUGACCAAGAACCUGAUGGUCAUUCUGACAGAGCUCUAGAGUUCCUUUGUGGAGAUGGGAGAACCUUCCAGAAGGACAACUAUCUCUGCAGCACUCCACUAAUCAGGCCUUUAUGGUAGAGUGGCCAGACGGAAGCCACUCCUCAGUAAAAGGAACAUGACAGCCUGUUUGGAGUUAGCCAAAAGGCACCUAAGAAACACCUGAGAAACAAGAUUCUCUGGUCUGAUGAAACCAAGAUUGAACUCUUUGGCCUAAAUGCCAAGCGUCACGUCUAGAAAAAACCUGGCACCAUCCCUACGGUGAAGCAUGGUGGUGGUAGCAUCAUGCUGUGGGGAUGUUUUUCAGCGCAGGAGACGAGUCAGGAUCAAGGCAAAGAUGAGAGAUCCUUGAUGAAAACCUGCUCCAGAGCGCUCAGGACCUGACUGGGGUGAAGGUUCACCUUCCAACAGGACAAUGACCUUAAGCACACAGCCAAGACAAUGCAGGAGUGGCUUCGGGACAAGUCUCUGAAUGUCCUUGAGGCCCAGCCAGAGCCUGGACUUGAACCCGAUCGAACAUAUCUGGAGACCUGAAAAUAGCUGUGCAGCUACGCUCCCCAUCCAACCUGACAGAGCUUGAGAGGAUCUGCAGAGAAGAAUGGGAGCAACUCCUCAAAUACAGGUGUACCAAGCUUGUAGCGUCACACACAAGAAGACUCAAGGCUGUAAUCGCUGCCAAAGGUGCUUCAACAGAGUGCUGAGUAAAGGGUCUGAAUACUUAUGUAAAUGUGAUAUUUUUGAACACCUCUUUUUGCAUCAUCAUUAUGGGGUAUUGUGUGUAAAUUGAUGAGGGGAAAACUUUUUUUAUAUAUAUAUAUAUAUAUAUUAGAUCCUGAAAUGGACACAAUUCAGUCAGUAACACAUUUUGAAUAGUUUUAUUUUCCCAUAAUUGAGUGCAUUUGUAAACAACCAUACAAACACUGCCUUUUUUAUUUCGUAAUUAAAACAAACUAUCGUUACAUUUUUUUUUACAAGCACGCAUAUUGAAGUUGGAACAUUGGAACUCUCCCUGGCUCAGUGUUUUAAUGUGUUUCUGAAAAUAACAAGACUGAAAGUAAGAACUCACCCAACUCAGCAACAUAGAAAUGUGUACAGCAAUAUAUAAUUUAACAAUGACUCGUUGGCAGAACAGUUCUCUUGCAGAGGACAUUUUAUUCUCAUUGGACUAGCCUACUUCAAGAUCAAACUGAAGGUCAAAUAAAAAAUACUCAGUCACCAUUUGAAGGAAUUCACCAUUCAGAGAAAUGUUUGGGGUUGUUUUUAUACCACUGAAAGACUGAAGUAGUCUACUGUAUCUCCUCUUCCUUCUCACCAGAGGGACAUAUGAGUUUAAAGAUAUCUAUUCAGAUCCAGGUCAUCAACGAUCCUAGUUAAAUAACAAUGCCUAGUUAAAUACAGGUAAAACAACAACAAUGGCAUCGUUCAGGUCUAAUUACUCUGUCACUACAAUGAACUAAUGAUUGGGGGAGGGGGCGGUAAUCAUUUGCUAAUUAUUGACAGUGGGAAAGUAUUAAUUGUAUGAUGUCUCAAUAGAUCGAAAAUGAGUACAAAUUGUGGAGAGGCAAACUUUCUGUUGUAUACCAUCCUGUGUCUUUUGCAGGGGGAGUAUACAGUAUAUUCAACAGCCAAUUAUAGCUCUAGUAAGAGUCAGUAAACUCCAGACCGACAGACUUUUUGAAAAUGUUUUUUUAGGCGUGUUUGGCAUGCAGUUCAGUCAUGGGCAAAAUCGCCUUUGACAUUUGAAAGACUUUUUGAUUGAUAUUGACAUAUCAAAGCAGAGAAACUGCCAUGUUCUGCAGAGGUUGUAAAAACACUGACUGCAUUUUAAAGGCAAAACACAAAAUUAGCUACAAAACAUCUGUUUAGGUCUAUGCAUGCAGUCUUCAAUUUAGUCAAAACAUCAUGAUUUAACAAAUGUAAUUCCAAUUUACCAAACCUUCUCAAAUGUCAAAAAUAAACAAUUUGGGAGAAUGUUAGACGAAUGCUGCUUUUAAUCCAAGGUUAUUCUAGCAUGCUAGGCAAUAGAUGCCUGAAUGUCCAGCUUCAAGAUCCAUAUGGUCUCUGCCUGUUUGGGAAUGCUUGUGUGGAUCCAAAAGAAACCCUAUCAAAACCCUGGUCACAUGUGAGUUAUAGGGAUCCAUAACCCUCGUGAUAGGUGAGUUAUAGGGCUGCAUAACCCUCGUGACAGGUGAGUUAUAGGGAUCCAUAAGCCUCGUGACAGGUGAGUUAUAGGGCUGCAUACUGAAUUCUGAGGGCAUGUUCCAUAUCUCUACCUCGAGGUGACAAGACACACACUUUGUUUUAGCAAUCAUACACACACGCACACACAUCCCUCUGUGUCUCCCGGUUCUCUCUCCAGACAUCUCAGUCGAUCCCAGGGGAGAGCAAUCCGUCACCGAGCUACUUUCUUUUGAAAGAGGAAAACAUCUCCAAUUGAACGCUGGAUUCAGGCUUCUUUGUGUCAACCCCAUCAUAUUGUAGGCCUCUUGAAACUGAUCACAGUCAAUAUACAGUAUCAAUGGUCAAUUGAUUGAUUAUAAAUGUGUGUUAUAUGUAUUGAGCUGCAGAUUAUCAGUUUGUCUAUUUGUCAAUGGAAAGGCCAAAUCAGAAUCAUAAAAAAAGCCUAAGCCAUCAUGUUAAGAAGGCCGUCAUGUUAAGAAGGCCAUCAUGUUAAGAAGGCCAUCAUGUUAAGAAGGCCAUCAUGUUAAGAAGGCCAUCAUGUUAAGAAGGCCGUCAUGUUAAGAAGGCCAUCAUGUUAAGAAGGCCGUCAUGUUAAGAAGGCCAUCAUGUUAAGAAGGCCAUCAUGUUAAGAAGGCCAUCAUGUUAAGAAGGCUGUCACGAGGCUUACAAGGCAUGGUUCAUGACUCCAGUCUUUAGUAUCUUUACGAUUUUAGUAGACAGAAACCCACGUCUGCAGCGCGCUAACAAUUCAGUGCCUCAGAGCGUCUAAAAAAUAGGUUACCCUUUUCAAAUGUGAAUUUGUAGUUCUUUUGGACAGUGAAGCGAGAUGAAAAGCAGCAGUAGUAGGUGUUGUUUCGCUGUCAUCUCGCCCAGCUAACCUACUUCCUGGGACUCUUCAAGCUCCCUGUAGUCUCUUCAUCAGCAGGAACACAAAAAUACAUUUUUGUCACAACAGACAACUUUGUCUUGCCAGAAACUCAUGAAUAUUCAUCUACAAAUGAAGACUUCUGAAAGGUGUCGCAAACAGAAAACGUCCUGAUGAAGCCUCUGGGGACAUGGAGGAAAUGGGUAGAACUUUCAGAAGGUGAUCCACCCUGUUAAACUUGUAUGGAUACCAGUCUGUUUCUGUGCUCUUGCCAACUCCUUGUGGAAUUGUCACGACAGCAAUGGAGUUGCGAAAAGCA